CAGCUAUUCAGUUGCUUGCAUUUUCUGCUUUCUAUCUUUUCAAAUCAGUUUUGUCCAGAAUGAUAAGAAUGUAGAGAAACAUGAGAUGACCUUGAAAGGCUUUACAAAAAAUAAUAAUGACUAGAUUUUUUUAAACAUUUAUCUACCAUUCUUUAGUUUGCAACUGGAAUACCACUGUUUAAAUUUUACUUGUUUUCACUUUUGGUCAGGUACAACUUGAAGGAGUCAUUUGUUAAGUACUUACUAUGUGAUAGGAACUCUCACAUGGAUUGUCUUGCCAUUUUGACCUAAAUGCACUUUGAUUAUUUUUAAAUCUAUAUGCAAAGACUCCAUGUUUUACACAUUUCUAGAUUUAAUAAAGGAGAUAAAUUAUGUAUCAUAUUUUACCAUUGUCAUGGUUCGGAUAUGAGGUGUCCCCUAAAACCUCCCCCAAUGCAGGAAUAUUCAGCGAUGAAAUGAUUGGAUCUUGAAAGCUGUAACAUAAGUAGUCCAUUUUAGUUUGAUGAACUGUGUGCUAAUCCUAGGCCACUGGGGUGUGGUUGGAGGAGGUGGGCCACUGGAGGUGGGCCCUGGAAGGGUUCAUCUUCUCUGUGACUCCCUGUCUCUCUGCUUCCUGGCUGCCAUGAGGUGAGCAGCUUUCCUUAGCAGCUCUCUUAUGCCAUGAUAUUCUGUCUCACCUUGGGCCCAGAGCAUUGGAGCCAGUCAUCUAUGGACUGAGACUUCUGAAACCAUGAGCCCCCAAUAAACCUUUCUUCAUCUGCAUUGUUCUUGCCAGGUAUUUUGGUCACAGCAACCCAAAGCUGACUAAUACACCCAUCUUUUAGGAUCUGGCUUUUGGUUUUGGUCAUAAGCUAAAUAGAGCAGUAGAAAAGCAUGCAGUCAUACUUUGGGAUUUGAUCCUGAAUUCCAUCAUAAACAGGCUCAGUGAUUGACUGCAGACAAGCGUCCUGACUUCUCUGAGGCUUUUCUACUGGAAAAUGAAGAUCUUGGGCCAGAUGAGUGGUCUUCACUUUUGAAAGGUGACAAGGACCUUGCAGAAUCCAAUGAAAACUAGGAACCUUCUUCACUGAAAAAAAAAAAAUCACAUAUAUACUUACUUGAAAAAGAGAACAUUUAGUUUCCAGAAGACCACAGACUUCCCCUAAAUGAAGAAAUUGCUUAAGACUCUUCCAGCACCAACUCAAAAUUGCUGGGCCCCAUAAGGACCUGGCGAGUCUUGCACUGUUUAGAGUGGUCCCCUGAGGAAUGAG
RNAcentral lists this long non-coding RNA (1250 nucleotides) under Marmota monax (woodchuck). Lineage: Eukaryota; Metazoa; Chordata; Mammalia; Rodentia; Sciuridae. The record is from RNAcentral.